Long non-coding RNA from Brachypodium distachyon (stiff brome), 830 nucleotides. RefSeq lists it as uncharacterized. The transcript has 2 exons. The record is from RefSeq and is a predicted model, not a curated record. NCBI's taxonomy places the organism in Eukaryota, Viridiplantae, Streptophyta, Magnoliopsida, Poales, Poaceae.
CCCCUGAAAAUCUCGGUGGAACCCGAGACGGCGGCGGCGCCCAUGGCGACCCGACCCGGCGACCGGCGUUCUGGGCGGCACGGCGGCUGCGCUCCCAAGAGCAGCGCGCGUCAGGGCAAGCCCCGCGCGCUCCUCCGUCGAGCGUCGCCGCCGGCGACGCCUGUUCCUUCGGGCGGAUGAGGGGCGGGGAUGCCGGCCGGCCACAGCGCGUUCCCACGCACCGGAGCGGCGUGGUGGCGGCAGCGGCGCCCUCUCACGCUAAGUUGCCGUGCGGCUCCUCCCCGAGGGAAGGAUAGGCGACGCCGUGGCCUUUUUUUUAUGGCGGCAGCCGGCGGCGGCUACUUCGUUUGGAGUCGACGGCGGCGAGACGAGAUGCCGCCAUCCUUCAGGGAAAUUUUUCUGAUGCAGCAAAGGAGUCCUUCAAAUUCCUACAAAAGGUCAGAUUUACUUAUUGUGUACAUAUUAAUCAGUUUAUUAAUCAUAAGAUGUUUUCCAAUAUUCAUCAUUUGCAGUUCGCACCUACAUCAUCUGUCAUUCUACCGUACUAUAUAUAAUUUUUGUAACAGGUUCACAUGUCUUUACUAUGUACAUGUUUAAUUGUCAUCUUUUCAAUGAGAAAGCAAGGUUAUUCAGUGCGUCUCUUCAUGCCCAUCUUGAAGAUCACGGUUUCUUCAUUAUUUUGCUUUCUGCAGAUUUUUGGGUCAAUUAUCAUUGAUUCUGUUUAUUAUCCUCUCACAUUAACAUUCUCUUAAGAGAUUCAGUUUACAUCUUGAUAGUAUGAUAUGACAUUUGUAUUUUACUGGCUAUAUAUAUAACAUAUAUUCCCUAUA